GGGCGCUUGGCGCAGUGGUUAGCGCGCUGCUUCGACAUAGCAGAGGUCGUGGGUUCAAAUCCCUCAGUGCCCACAA
RNAcentral lists this transfer RNA (76 nucleotides) under Candidatus Nealsonbacteria bacterium CG11_big_fil_rev_8_21_14_0_20_35_11. Its description in RNAcentral is "tRNA-Val". It matches the Rfam family "tRNA". From Rfam's summary of the family: Transfer RNA (tRNA) molecules are approximately 80 nucleotides in length. Their secondary structure includes four short double-helical elements and three loops (D, anti-codon, and T loops). Further hydrogen bonds mediate the characteristic L-shaped molecular structure. tRNAs have two regions of fundamental functional importance: the anti-codon, which is responsible for specific mRNA codon recognition, and the 3' end, to which the tRNAs corresponding amino acid is attached (by aminoacyl-tRNA synthetases). tRNAs cope with the degeneracy of the genetic code in two manners: having more than one tRNA (with a specific anti-codon) for a particular amino acid; and 'wobble' base-pairing, i.e. permitting non-standard base-pairing at the 3rd anti-codon position. Lineage: Bacteria; Candidatus Nealsoniibacteriota. The record is from RNAcentral.